RNAcentral lists this ribosomal RNA (506 nucleotides) under uncultured bacterium. RNAcentral describes it as "partial 16S ribosomal RNA". It matches the Rfam family "Bacterial small subunit ribosomal RNA", at positions 29 to 523 of the family's 1533-position model. The record is from RNAcentral.
AGUGAACGCUGGCGGUAGGCCUAACACAUGCAAGUCGAACGGCAGCACAGGAGAGCUUGCUCUCUGGGUGGCGAGUGGCGGACGGGUGAGGAAUACAUCGGAAUCUACUUUUUCGUGGGGGAUAACGUAGGGAAACUUACGCUAAUACCGCAUACGACCUACGGGUGAAAGCAGGGGAUCUUCGGACCUUGCGCGGUUGAAUGAGCCGAUGUCGGAUUAGCUAGUUGGCGGGGUAAAGGCCCACCAAGGCGACGAUCCGUAGCUGGUCUGAGAGGAUGAUCAGCCACACUGGACCUGAGACACGGUCCAGACUCCUACGGGAGGCAGCAGUGGGGAAUAUUGGACAAUGGGCGCAAGCCUGAUCCAGCCAUACCGCGUGGGUGAAGAAGGCCUUCGGGUUGUAAAGCCCUUUUGUUGGGAAAGAAAUCCAUCUGGUUAAUACCCGGGUGGGAUGACGGUACCCAAAGAAUAAGCACCGGCUAACUUCGUGCCAGCAGCCGCCGUAA